Molecule: long non-coding RNA, 13604 nt
Organism: Pangasianodon hypophthalmus (striped catfish)
Lineage: Eukaryota; Metazoa; Chordata; Actinopteri; Siluriformes; Pangasiidae
Exons: 4
Source: RefSeq, a predicted model, not a curated record
CCAUGCCUCUUUUUCUCUCCAUCAGUCUCUCCCUCAUGCUCUCCCCUCCCACCUCUUUACGCACUUGCACUCGAUUACACACAUGCAUACACCCUUAUUGUCUCCCCUCUUACACGCACAGCUGUCUCAUGCUCUCUCUCUCCUCUCCUUCUCACGGCCACAGAGUCAUCCACAGGGAUUAUUGUGGCGCUUCUCGUCCUGCCUGGCAGCAUUGCUUGUGUUCCUUCGUCCUAGACUGAGAAACCUGACUGACUCCUCUGCUUGCUGACUAUCUGCUCAAGCUUUUCCUUCACCUCAUUUGGGAUUUUCACCUCUUGCAAGAAUUGAGGAUGUACAGAAAUCUUUACGGCAUCUACGUAUGAAGCGAAGAAGGACGAACUUCUGAAUGGACAGAUGAAACAGACAUGAGGAAAAAUGUGGCAGGAAGUGUGAAAGGGAGAAGGUGAGGAUAAAGUACAGAGAGAGAGAGAGAGAGAGAGAGAGAGAGGGGCAUCUUAGGACUCAACUGAGAUUACAUAUGGGUGGAUGCAAGGAUUAGCAAAAUCGUGGGGGGAAAAAGUGAAGAAAUAAAGAAUGACAGAGAAGGAAUGACAGCAGAUCGGAUUUGCCUCCCUCCUGAACUAGGCUGGUUUACCCUGAACUCUGGGGUCCAGAUUGAGAAUGUGCAGAACAUACAGCCUGGAGGUAGGGGAGCCAGGCCAUGUUCGCUUGACAGCUACACAGGAUGAGAUCACCGGGACUGAGCAUCAGACAAAGAUAAGUAUAAAAUCUAUAAGUAUAAAACACUUUUUUUUACCAUUAAUCAAAAGACAGUUAAGCAUCAUUCUGCUGGCUACUGCUAUAGCACAGCAAAAAGUAUUUUUCUGUUCAAAGGAAAGAGCUUGCAUUCUAUUUCAUAAAAUUCAUCAACAAUCCACACACACACACACACACACAAAUGCACAGUCAUCUACUGGGGGCACUCCAUCUAAUAACCUGGACUGCAACAGCGGGUGAAAUAGAAGUCUCAUAGUACUUGAUGACCUCCUUUUUAAGCUAGACCCAGGGUGGGGUUUUCAUUAAAAUUAAUUCUUUUACCUGAUGGCUGUCUGAUAGAAUACUUAGUGUUAUAGUCUCUGUGUCCAAUAAUUAAAAAUGCUCCUCAAUACAAACCAGCAUGGCAAUUUACCAUUGAGACAAAAAAUCACAAGUCCAUCCAUGAUGCAUAAAUACCACAUGACCCAUAUAUAACACCAAUUUAAAGAAGUUAUUUAUUAUUUACAGGUAUUAUUUAACUGGCCAUAGACCCCUUACCACAACAAUGUUCUCUGGAUUUGUAGCUACCCUGUUUUUACUUACUAUUUGCUCUAUACUCUGUCUACAGAACUAUUUAUAUUGCUGCGGCUGCCUUGAGGUGGCAGACAUUCAAACACUUGUUAAAAGUCUUGCAGACGGCUCUCAUAAUCAGACGAGUAAAAGAUGAAUACAGAUUGGUUCACCAUUCCUGACAAACAGUGCUGCAUAUAUUGCUGGAAAGUGAACACGCACUGCAGAGGCUCAGUGGCCUCCUUUCAAACUCAUACAGGUUCAGUGGUGGUAAACAUGGUUUUCUCCAUCACACUCAUCCACUCAUUUAACCUUCUGUAAUCUCUGCAAAAGCGCAAUGACCCAUCACUUUUCUUCACUAAUACUUUGGUGCAACCCAGGGGCUAUGCACUCUCACAGAUCAUCCCACUCUCUAACAUCACCAUUAAGAGGCUCUUAAGCUUCUUCAAGAUGUUUCUAUGCUUUGGGCAAAAUACAUUUGGUAAUCUGGUGUUGUUCUACUCCGGUAUGACCAAAUUCCUCACAUGCACCAAAGACCAUACACCACUUUCUCAAGAGAGUGGUUGUUGCUAAUGUUGCAGCUAUUUUUUUCAACUUCAAUCACUCCAAACCCUUAUGUCUAUAGAUUCAUAUCUGUGUGGAGAUUUGGGUUCAAGACUUUCACAGGCACCUAGCUAUUCUGCAAAGUCAUGGAUAUACUGCAUGCUUAAUCCUAUUCCAGUGAAUGCCUGGCAUUAAGAGGAAUGGGAAUAAGCAUACAGUAUAUCCAUGAUACAAACCUGAAAACAGCUUUCCCAUGGAAUAACACUUGAUUAUUGACCUCUCUCCAGCAAUCCACAAGCACAUUCAUGACCAAGAUGACAUAUUCAGGGCCCAGGCAGGAAUCCUCUACUUCAUGUCUUUUUUUCUGGCAAAUGUGCACCAGUCCACAAGAGUAAACAUUUAACUUGUAGGCCAUAAUUUUUUUUUAUUUCAAAUGCUGUGCUUCUCUGUGUACUGAACCAGCAUUUCCUUCAAUUUCUUCAGCGGCCCUUCUUGCCCUUCUUUUCCCCAAAUCCCCCCUUUCUUUCCUCUCACAGGUUCACAAGACAAUGACCAACAGGCAAACUUUGCCAGCUGGUCUAUUAAGAGCUCCUCAGCAAUAUUUUGGAUCUCUGUUCCAUCAAAUGGAAUAAGCCUUUUGAAGAAGGCAAUAUCAUCAGUUUUUUAUGGGAGUGGAGGUUCACAAGGCAAUGACCAGCAAUCAGGCAAAUCAGGUUGGACUGUAAUGAUGGCUGAAUUGCAGAUUUUUCCUUAAAAUCAAAAACGUAUUUUUAAAUUAUGGCUGCUUCCUUAGUUCCAGUUUUCUAACAGGGUCAGUAUCUCAAGGAACCAUAUGAACCAUAUUUCUUAUUACAACCAACUAGCCAAAAUGUCACAUCAACCCCAAACUCGUGACAUAAAAACAAAAUUCUACAGAGGUGAACAUAAAGAAACAUAGACUUGUCACUCUAAAUGAUGACUCAGUUUAAUCCGUAUCCAAUGUCCAGAUGGACACUACUCAAGUGACGACUGCUUGGUGAGGAAUCUCCUGAUAUUGGUCCAUCUGUAAGGACGCUCACUGACACCUCACUCCUGGGCUUGGACAUGUGGGCCAGAAUAUGGGGCAACUCACUGUGACUUUGGUUUAUAUGCAUCACCAGGUGUGGUUGGAACAAUCCACUUGGCCUGAGAGCUAUUCAGCUCUGCAGAAUCUGUAUACACAUUACAGACCUGCCACCAAAUUGGUCAUAGGUAGGAGGGGAAGCUUUAGGAAUCGUAAAGCCAGCAUGGCCAAACAAACCAUUUCCAUGUUCCAACACCUACAAGGGGCUCACCUGCCUUGUGCUAUCUAUGGUCAGGGGAGAACACCCUCAGCCUUCUGGUGGGCAUCUGUGUGCACCUCUUUUACUAUGUAGACAGUGUCUCGCCACUGAAGAAUCUCACAAGAAGUGAUGGGACACUUCAUAACCAAAACUUUGCUCAAUGGACAGUGACUACAUUAGAUCAUUGUGUCCUGAUGGCAAUGUCAUAAGGAUGCAAACAACAGUUCCGCUGCUGGCCCCAAGACUUUUUAGGCAUUGAUGAAUGUGCAAAUGUACAUUAUGACCUAUACAUGUGUUUCUUUUGUAUCUUAUUAUGACUGCUGUAGGGUGCACAAUGCGCCUUGCAUUGUUGGUCAUUUAUAUGUCAUCUGCCUGUCAAACACAGGACACAUCAUAACUGGCAUGUUUUCUCUUGGAAUUGCAGAUCUAAGGGAUUUCUAUUGAUGUCCUUCAUUUUGACCCCAAAGCCUUCCCAGAAUACUGAAGGAUAUUAUAACAGCAAAUGGGGCACUAAAUCAGGAAAGGACAAAAUCACAUAUGGGUGUGGUUGGUCAGGUGUCCACAUGCUUUUGGUCAUAUGGUGUAUCAUCACUAUUUGGCUACUUUUACUGUUUCACAGGUAGACUUGCCAAUGCACUUUACGGUCAAGAGAACUAGAGCAAAGUCUAGUCAAGAUGUCAAGACUCUGUAUUUGUGUCUUCGUGAUUGCCUUCACAAAUUAAUCGUCUACUCUUUUUUUAGCAUAAUGAAAAAAAAAUCAGUAAAGGAGUGAAUACUAUAACCUCAAGUGUAAAAUCUCUGAAGUUACCAGAUUUUUCUUGGGGACAGGAGUUGUUUAGUUGUGCCUAGACCAUUGCACUUUCUGUCUGAAAAACAGUGGAGGAUAGAAAACAAAGACUGACAGAACAGACUGCAUUGCAUUUUCCCCUCAGUUUCCCUUAGCUGUCAAUUGCAAUAUGAUGUAGCAUAAAAGCAAGAGACCAUGAGUUUACAGUUUAGAAUAACAUAAUAAUGUUUGAAUGAGAAGUAGGCACAGAGUUUCUGUGCAUGUUCUCUCUGUAUCCAUGUGGUUUCCCUCCCACUUGCCAAAAACAUGGCAGAAGGUGGAGUGGCUCUGAUAAAUUGCACCUCGCUGUGAAUGUGUCUGUGUGUGUGUGUGUGUGUGUGUGUGUGUGUGUGCAUGUGCAUGGUGCACAGGAUAGGCUCCGGAUCCCUGGAAACCACUGAAAGUAAGGGAGUGAUUUAAUAGUAGUCUAAUAUAUUGCAAAUAUAUUAAGAGGUAACAUCAUGAUCAGAAAAGGAUCCUAUUCAUGAAAAUCAUGUUAAUCACAUGAUCGCUGCAAAUUUCUUAAUUUAACAAUAUAGUUUCCACCUAUAUUUUUGGCUCCCAGUCUAUAAAAUAGCACUCGUUACAGCACCUGCUUUUUUUUACACGAAUGCAUGGAAGUAGCCUAAUAAUCUGUACUGACAGUGGCAGAUUUGAAGCUUAUGUGCUAUGGUUAUGGCUCACUUUAUGCCUAGGUGGAGUUCCUAAGUUUAUCUAAUAAUCAAUAUGGCAUAUAAAAUGAGGUUUGAUCUCAAGAUAAAUAUGGGGUCUGAGAUGGUGCUGUCACCUCUGAUCUCCUUCCUGUGCACCAAAUAAAAAAAUGUGGCCUCUACAGAACUGUUUCAUAUGAUUACUUAAUUAAUAAUAACGUAUAUUUAAUAUUGCUUCUCAUCACUGGAGCUAAUAUCAUGCAAGUAAAUUGGGCAUUUGUUUCUCCUGUGCAACUGCCCACGUAGGCCUGCAGAGACCUAAAAAACAAAAAAAAAAACACUUUAACUGGGUAAAAACGGUUCACUGGGCCAGAUCUGGUACUCUUUUUUCAGUUAGAUCAGUCAGGGAUCUGAAUAAUUAGGUACAAACCUACAGCCAGCCCCAAGAACUGCCUCCAUUUUGGUCUUAGGACAGGCUGCAGUCUCAUCAGUUUGGUAAUGCAUCUACCCAUUACCCAGACACCAUCCAACUGCACACUUGUUACAGGGGUUUUCUUUUAUGUUCAGGUGAUUGAUAUAUAGGUGAUUCCUGUUCCACCAGGUUUGGAUUAGUCUCAGAAAAAGCAAAAGGUUCAAAACUAAUUGAGGAUGUGUAUGUCAUGAGGGUUCACAACAUAUCCUGAUAGUGCACUCUGCUAAAUAAUAAUAGACAGCACUCAUGGAAAUAAUACAGGUGGAAUAUAGGUCGAACAGUGUUGAUACUGUUCUUUACUGGGGACGAGAAUCACUCAACAUGCUGAUGUUGGUAUCUAUUGAGGAUGAGAAUUGCUCAAACUCACUACAGAGCAAACCGUGAGGAAGGUAGGACAGUUAUGAUUGUGCUUUGCAAAUGUCCAAAAGUGUCUCUUGUCACAGGGAUGCUCAGGGCAGACAUAGCAUGUGUCCUUAAGAAAACGAGGUGUCUUCACCUGUGUGAAGUCUGAGGUAUGUCUGUGUAAUCACGUCUUGUACCCAAUGGGCUAAUCUGUCUUUACACAGUGGUAGCAUUCUGCUCAGUGAACACAGAAGGCCUGGGGUAAGGAUGCGCAUGGGCUUUUAUUUAUCCCAUGGCCCCUUGGCAUGGUCAGUGGGCAGUAACUUAAACAAACAAAAAUGCAGCUUUUCAAGUGGCUUCUCGCUUAUCCUUCACAGAAUCUAAAAAGCAGUAUUUUUAUGACACUCUUCCCUGAACCUAACCCAGACCCACAACCAGCUAUAAUGCAGCUAUUGCCAGGGAACAAACUGAAAUGACCAUUGGUUUAAUAAAAGGAUGAUUUCGAUGUCUAACAAAUUUGGAGGUUGAAGCUGAGACAGCAUGCAAAAUCAUUAUUGCCUGUCUUGUUAAAAGCGCUAUACAAAUUGAAUUGAAUUGAUAAUACACAACAUUGUCACCAUCAGAAAUUAGAUGGCUCCUGAGAUGGAGCUGCAGCUUUAUGAUGACGUUGACACAGUGCACCUUGACCAACACAGAAAGGACAGAAUAGUGGGCAAAAUUAUACAAUAAAUCUUACAAUAUUUUGUCUUAUCUAGACCUGUGUGUGUGUGUGUGUGCGUGCAUCUCUGCCACAUGCAAAGGUAUUUGAUAAUGUGGCAAAUGAGAUAAAAUAACCCUGAGUGUUUAUGAAUGACCAAUGACGCAUGUUUUGUUGAAUAAUCUUAAGCUUUUUGUCUUAUUUUAGUACAGAGCAAUGUCAGCCACUGUUCUUUCCUUCUUUCCUGGCUUUUAUUUAAUUUUGUUUUAUUUAUUUUUUUGUGACAAGUGUCAAGCCACGUCCCAAUUAGUGUGUGUUGUGCUAGUAAGGGAUAGGUGUGAGUGUGGGUGAUUCAAAGGGUGUGAACUGCAAUGUAAGUGAGUAUCAUUUUACAGUGUGUUGAAUGUGUAAAAAAGUAUCCUACUGUCAUGUUGGAGUGUGAAAUUUCAUAUGUUGUCAUGGUUAUUUCUACUAUAGGAGUUGCUAUUUUGAAGAGUGUGAACAGCUUGUCUUAUCUUAAACAGAAACUGUUUAAGAUAAUUGCUACUGUUGAUUUUAGCAUUGCUCUUGCUCUCUUAGGGUGCUUUCACACUUGCCAUUUUUUUCUCAACUGCCAGCCCUUGCUUUAUGUAUAACCCUUGGGGAAGUGGCAGCAGUGGAGUGCUUCUGAAGUUGGAAAAAAAAAAAAACAUUUCAGGAAAGCAUCAAGUGAUGGCAAGUGGGUUUUUUUGCCCUCCAUCCAAUCAGGUCGCAAGUUGAGGGAAGGCAUGAAAACAAACAAACAUGCCGGUGAAAAAAAAAGUCUUGUUAAUGAGACAGGAUAAUAUGAUUUAUAAAAUAUUUCAUCAUCAUUAUUACAACACGGUAAUGUAACUACAAAAAUAACAACUUGUGAUUUUGGGGCAUUUAUCAGUACAGGAUCUGUGGCUGUGUACAGUCAAAUUGCACAAGCAGCUCCUCUCUUGAUUUUCUGCCUCCAAAACUGCAGCAAAGGCAAACAACCUCCUCAUCACCAUGGUUACAGCAAUCUUUAUAAUAUUUAUCACUACUCCAUUAAAUCUAGAUAACAAGACAGGCUAGUUAGGACUGGUAUGUCGUGAUUUAAUUUUUCUAAUAAAAGUUGCUUGCCUGAACCUUUGUUUGUCAUUAAUCUGAUAAUUGUGCUAUGCCAAAAGAAUGGGUAUGCGUAUGCAAGCCAUAGGAGGUUUGUUGGGAAUGUUUAAUUCCUUCUUUUUGGAAAUGAUUUCUUGUUAAAGCAAUGGACAAACAUCUGUGUAUCAAUGUGCACAGGGCAAAUUCCUAUAGUAUACAACACAGAACAACAAAUAGGAGAUAAAUGUAAAAAUGUAUACAUUUAAAAUUGAAUAUAUAUAUCCUGAAUUUGUAUAUUUGUGUGAAGCUGCUUUGUGACAGUGUCCAUUGUUAAAAGCACUAUACAAAUAAAAUUGAACUGAAUUGAACAAAUAUUCACUGCAAUAUGUUGAAAUGUCAAGACAAAUGUCUAUGACAAUACCUGAUAUGCUGACCUAAGAUCUCAGAUCCAUGUGCUCUCUAGCGCCAGAGACUGCAUUCCACCUGUAGUCUUUACAGUAGGUCUGAAAUGGUCAGAAAGCCAUGCCACAGAAAUAUCUGUGUAUUAUUAGCAUGUAUUAUUGCAUGACAGGACACAGCCUAAAGUGAAGCCCACUUACAGUUCCUUUAAACCCUUAUUAUCCUCCUGCCCUAUUUAUAUUGCUAAAAUUCCAGUACAUUACUCUUCAUUGUAUAUACAAUAAAUAAGAUUUUAAUUACAGUAAAUGAUAAAAACACCUACUGAACUUUAACUACUGGACCUUCCCUUUCAAAUGGUCUGUUCUUUAUUCACAUAUGGCAAGCAUUUCUUAUGAAACAUACUGUAUUUCACCUCAUUUAAAUACCCUGGAUGUGGAAGGAUGUGUUUGCGUUAGGACAAAAUGCUCACCUUCACAACUGAAAGCAGCAAACAUUAAAACAAACAAACAAAAAAGAAUCUAUAUAUCUACCAUAUGGCUGGUUUCUAAUCGAUCUGUUUUUGGCUUUGUUGCCCAGAUCAUUGCUGCCUCAGAGAACAACCUUGAAAAUGAUGUUAGAGAGAUUAUGAUGAUGAUGAUCUAGGCGUACUGUAUAAAGACACGUGUGUCUGUAAUUCCUGCUGGAUUAUUCCAGGUUUGUGGGACUAGUUCUUGUGCACUACGGGUUGAGGUAGUUGGUUGUAUGGUUUUGCAUCAUAAUCAGCCUGGAGUUAACUGUACAACCUUCUAUCUUUCCCCGCGGUGUCACCACCCCGACUGAUCCUAACCUCACGUGGACUGAUGCUGCGUUCAUGGUGCCUUGUAAGUGGUAAUUUCCAAGAGAGUGGCUACCGGUGCUAUUCUACUAUAGUGAACUUCAAACAUUCGUGCGACAUUUUACUGAAAUUGCAGCACAGCAACAACAGCAGACAAUAACGACAAGCAACAAGCUAGCUAGCUAAUGUUAGUGAUAAUGUUGAUGAUUACCUUCUCAAAGCAGUGAUUACUAUGGUCAAUGUUAUAGAUUUAAUCAAGUACUGUGUUUGUAUAUUAACUGGUCUAAAGCCAAUAAAGUGCUAUAAACUAAUUUAAAAGUAGAGAACAGGGACUUUAUGCUGUUCACAGUGUGAGCGGCCAUGUUGAUUUGACAUCACACUGCUAGUUGAGAAGACAACCCUAAUUUAACGUGCUGAAAUUUCAAGCUGAAGGAGCGUGUUUGGUGGUUUUUACUGGUUGCAGGUGGGGAAUUACAAGUUGCAACUUCACCUCGAACGCAGCAUGAGUGACAUUAGAGACCAUUCUCCCAAGCUUUGUGAAGCUUAGAGGGGAAAUCUCAUGUCUCUGUAUUUUUAGUUGAGGCCCACUCUAUGCCAUGCUUUUCCUGGAUUUCUUGGGGCAGGGGUGUUUGUCAAUUUUUUUUUAAACUAGUGCCUUUUCACAAUCCAUAUAGCCAUUCAAGGCAGACAGGGCAAUGGAGCAGAAGCUGCAGCAAGCUAAAUUCAAGCUAAAUUCAAGUUAAAUUCAAGUUAAAUUCAAGUUAAAUUCAAGAUAAAUUCAAGAUAAAUUCAAGUUAAAUUCAAGUUAAAUUCACAUGUCUUCACAAGCUUUCCAGGGAAAGUCAGUGAGAAAGUGGCUGCUUAGCAGAGCAAUUUAAAAAAAAUUAUUUUGCUUGACAUUUAUUUUAUUUAUUUAUUUUUUAUACUUAGGAAUUUAUCAUUUUAUUAAACACAAUGGCUAGAUAAUUUAUUGCACUGUAUUUAUGUAUGUGAAAGUGAAAUUGGCCAGUGUAAAGGUCUAAUGAUAGAAUAUGUACAGUAUAAGUGAAUUGAGAUUUGUUUAUUAUUAAAAUGCUUAUAAAGAUGUAAUCUCAUCAGAAAAGGCAAACAUUUUUAAUCACUCUAAGUAAACACUAGUAUCACAGCACAUAUUAUAUACACUCACCGGCCAGUUUAAUAAGAACACCUGUAUACCUGCUCAUUCAUGCAUAACCUACUUAGAAGCGAGCUUGUUCAAGAGCUACCAGAACCUCCGACCGACAGCCACGCCCUCCUCUCAGCCAAGCCAUGUGUACUCUCCCAUUCACUAAUUACUUAAACGGCUUUGUCAAACUGUUACAAAAAGGGCACAAAUAGAACGGACUGGAUGUAUAGCACUCAAAAACCUGCAUACUUUCACUCCUUCAUGACUGACCUAUUUUGUCCAUAGUGAUCUGCUGGCUAUAAUUACAAAACUGUUCACCUAAACACAUGGCGUGAGACAGUGAGACAGUGAACAAAUGGUAUAUUUGGGGUUAUUUUGCUUCCCAAUGUUAGUGCAAGAGGAAUAUUGAUGUGUACAAAAACACUUUGUUAUGCAGCUACAAGUUCCACAAUCAUGACAUCUAUGAUAUUAAAUAAUGUGCAGCGUAUAGAAAGUGAGGUUGUGUGAUUUCACUGGGGUUCUGUGAAGUUUGCCUGGUCCCAAACCUCCUUAAAAACACAGCUUAAAAAAUAAUAUAAAAUAAAAGAGCCAAAGGUUUUACUUUUUGUUACUGAGGUUAAUUAGCAGCAUUAGUAAUUAUGUCAGUGGAAGAUUCCCACAAGGAUAGUAAGACAAAUGUGUGUGUGUGUGUUUGCCUGUGUAUGUGUGAUAAUGAGCUAUUGAUCUGUGGGUAAUGUGUAUAGAUUUGUAAUAUUUGCUGUGAGCUUUUCAUAAUUAUUUGUCUUGUUUCCUUUGAAUAAAACAAAAAAAAAAUAGGAAUUUUUUUUUUGCCCUUUGAAGACAAAAGGAUCAUUCCAUCAUGUAAUAUCAUAUUGUUAAAAUUGAUUCAAUUUGCAGGUUCAGUAAAAAGCUUGGAGCUGCCAGAGUAAGAGAGCAGCGUUUGCUGGAGGUGCACAUUUUUCCUUUGUCUGGAGUUUUUCACUCAGUUCUCAGAUCUGAGUGCUCAGUGUCUACUGCUAGAGGCUACCAGAUUAAACUAAGAGUAACUGCAGUCAGUAAAAUGUGGGCUCGAAUUUAUGUACCAUAUUUUAAUUGUUUAGAUCUUGAAUGACUUACAGUAGAAGGCUGGAGUUGGGGAAAUACCUUAAUCAAUCCGUCCACAUAGCUAUUUUGUGUCAUCUUUGCAUUUAGUGCAUUUUGUUGUUUUGUCAGCAACCUUUCAGCUUAAAUCUUUGCAAAUCUGGAAUUUUAUUGCAGCUGUACAGAAAUUCUGAAAUGCCAUGUAGAGUGUGGAGAAUUUAUGUUAAUAAGCUGGUACAACUGUUAAUUAAUGGAUAAAAGUCAGGGUGUGUUUUUGUCCCAAUAUAUCAUCUUGACGUUCUUCAGCCUUGGGACUUGCAGCCUGUCUGAAUAAAAGUGCUAAACCUAAAGCCACAUCAUGUAACUUUUCUCUGCUAUAGUGUUGCUUAGUGGGAUAAAACAUGAUAUACAUGUUACAAAUUUUAUAAUCUGAAUGUAACCUCUGAUUUAUUCGGAUCAUUUUAUAUAAUAAUGUACUGUCCAUUUUCCUUUUUAAUGUUCACUUAAGAUCCAGGAUUCUGUACUUUGUUUCAAGGGAAUACAGACAGAAAUAUCUCAGCAGCUUGAAAAGUCUAGUACUGCACCUUCGAGUAUGACUCUGUGUCCCUGAGACCCUUAACCUGUGGUGUCCCUUCAAGGUCACAGGUGAGGUCCUUGGGAAUAUAGAGUAUACAUUCAGUCCUGUAAAUUACUCACUUUCUUUUCUCUUUACAUGCUUUACUUAAGGUUUAUAUUGCCAAGAGAACCUUAAAGGAAAUACUGAAACAUUUUGUAUAGCAUGUUUGGAUGAUGCUCUUUAAUAAAAAAAUAGGAAAAUCUGUGCUGAUUAUACAAUUAGUACAAUUAGUAUAGUAUUAGGUCUUUUGAUGGAUUCCCAUUUAAUUAUGUUUAGGUAUUUUAAAUGAGCUUGAAUUAAUCAUUUUAUAGAAUAAAUAAUUUAGAGCCAUUUACAUUUAUUUAAUUUGAUAAAUAAAUAACCUGAGUGGUGCCUUUGAUGUCAUUACUAUACAGCAAGUGGUUACCUGUGUUAAACACUGUAACAAACUGAGGCUUGUAGUAGUGUCAUGGUGGACCUUGCUGAUGGUGGGGACAGUUCCUGUUGGUUGGCUUCUGUGAUCUCAUCAGUCAGAGUGUCCAAUCAGAAGUCAGCCCAGGUACAUGACCCCUGCACAUGCCUCCUGGACCAGCAAGGUGUAUCAGGCCUGAAGAACAGAUCAUUUUGUGCUUAUUAGUGUCAUAUAAAUGCAUUAAUGAAUUAUAACUGUCUGCAUGGGCAGCUUCCAGUGUAAGAACCAGUCUGUCAUGGAACUACACUACCCAUCAGCCCCACACAUCACAUGACCAAGUCACAUGCUUCACUAAUUACUCUCACCUGUGUCUUCUUAUGUCUUGUUUGUAUUUAAGUUCCAGUUUUGCACCGUCUCAUUGUCAAGCAUUCGUUGUUGUCGUUUGUUGUCAUGCGUGCCAACACAUUAUCGCUUAUAGUCUAGAUGUUUCUUGCUUCAUAUUCAUUUGUUCACCCUUUUGUUUGUUUUGUUUGUACUUUCCACAAUAAAUUACCGGCAUUUGCAUUCGCCUCCACCACCGAUUCCUGACCCAUUAUAAAUAUGAUAUAACAAUGCAUGACAUACAUAUAGCUACAAUGGAUUAAUUUAUACAUGAUCCAAGAUGGCGGCACGACAGUAGCACGCAGCGGCCGCUCCGGAUCCAAAAUUUUUGCUAUUUUUGUUUUUAGCCCAACUCUUCAAAGGCACAUGGACAUCGGAGAGACCGGUGUUCGUGUAUAUCAUCUCCUCUUUGCAAUUUUUUGCACACACCUGUAUUCAAUUUCUGCUGCUAUAAAUAUUUAUUAUAUAGUGUAUAUUUACACUCUCCACCUGGCUGCUAUGUUUACAUUCAGCCAUUGAUUUUGUCAAUCUUUUGCACUACUGUUAUAAGAUUCACUUUUUUAUUAGUACUGUGUGCUAGUUGGUGCUGCACUGUAACUCACUGUGCCCAUUGUCUUGUUUUGAUAGUUUUUGUACUUUGUGCUGUCUGCACAUGUUUGCACUGUGCACUUUAUGUGAAUAUAUGUAACGUCUACUGUAGUUCUGUGUUUUGUUUUAUGUAGCACCUUGGUCCUGGAGGAACGUUGUUUCGUUUCACUGUGUACUAACUAGCUGUAAAUGGUUGGAAUGACAAUAAAGCCACUUGACUUGCCUUGAAAUAUAGAAAUAAUGCUAAUUACAUGCACGUAAUUACAAACAUACAAUAGGUCAAUACACAAAAUAGUAGGAAUCCACAUAGGUCAAUAAAAAAAAAUUACUGUUAACAUCAGAGCUUGGGUAUGUAUUGUGGCACUAUUUUUUUUUAUGCAGUAAACAUAUUUUCCUCUGCAUGUCAUAAACUUGUGUCUAACCCUGAUCCCCUGCUGUACUCUAUAACAGACAUUUGACUGACAAAUUUUAAUCCACUGAUGAUCCAAGAACCAGAACAACUCCACACCCCACCCAGUACAGGCAUUUUAGCACUUCCACUCAGCUGAUCAUUGACUGCACCUGUUAAAUUCUAAUUUAGUUUUGUCUAUAUAUACCAGCUCACUGUCUAUAAUCUUUGCCAGGUUUUACCAUUUCCCAUGUGCAUUUCUGAGUGCUGUUUUCUCUGUUUGCUAUUCCUUGUUUAGCUUUAGCUUCUGCCCUUUGUUUCUGAUUUUGAUUUCCCUUCAUUGCUCUAAUUUCCUGCCUGAUUUCUGACUACAAUUUUGACUGCUGAUUUGCAUACUCAAUAAAAGGUUACAUUGUUUACAUCUAGCUUCCUCUGCUUAGUGACAUUCUGUGCAUGGUGCAGAAGAGAAUUUAAAACUCACAGAUAUAAUAUAAAUGCCUUCCCCAAACUGUUGCCACAAAAUUUGAAGCACACAAUUGUAUAGAAUGUGUUUGUAUGCUGUAGCAUUACAAUUU